Molecule: ribosomal RNA, 2999 nt
Filed under: Aeromicrobium sp.
Lineage: Bacteria; Bacillati; Actinomycetota; Actinomycetes; Propionibacteriales; Nocardioidaceae
Description: 23S ribosomal RNA
Rfam family: Bacterial large subunit ribosomal RNA
Source: RNAcentral
GAUCAAGAUACUAAGGGCACACGGUGAAUGCCUUGGCAUCAGAAGCCGACGAAGGACGUGGCAAGCUGCGAUAAGCUCCGGGUAGGUGCAAACUACCGUCGAUCCGGAGAUGUCCGAAUGGGGAAACCCAGCCGGGGUCAUGCCCGGUUACCCAUGCCUGAACACAUAGGGCAUGAGGAGGCAACCUGGGGAACUGAAACAUCUAAGUACCCAGAGGAAGAGAAAUCAACCGAGAUUUCCCUAGUAGUGGCGAGCGAACGGGAAACAGCCUAAACCCGCGUAUGCGUAUAGCCUGUGGGCGUUGCUGCGCGUGGGGUUGUGGGAGUCAUCGGCAUAGGGCCACUGACCUAUGACGGAGUUACAAAACGGCAGGGUAGCGGAACGGUUUUGGAAAAGCCGGCCACAGAAGGUAAGAGCCCUGUAUGCGAAAUUCUGCCGACUCCGAGAUGACCACCCGAGUACUGCCGGACACGUGAAAUCCGGCAGGAAUCUGGGGGGACCACCCUCCAAGGCUAAAUACUCUCUGAUGACCGAUAGUGAACCAGUACCGUGAGGGAAAGGUGAAAAGCACCCCGAGAGGGGAGUGAAAUAGUACCUGAAACCGUGUGCUUACAAGCAGUCACAGCCCGGAAAGCCGGCUUGCCGGCAGGGUGGUGGCGUGCCUUUUGUAGAAUGAGCCAGCGAGUUACCGUAUGCAGCAAGGUUAAGCUUUGAAGCGAGCCGUAGCGAAAGCGAGUCUUUAAACGGGCGUUCAGUUGCAUGUGGUAGACGCGAAGCCAGGUGAGCUAUCCAUGGGCAGGCUGAAGCGGGGGUAAGACCCCGUGGAGGGCCGAACCCACUUCGGUUGAAAACGGAGGGGAUGACCUGUGGAUCGGAGUGAAAGGCUAAUCAAACCUGGAGAUAUCUCGUUCUCCCCGAAAUAGCUUUAGGGCUAGCCUCGGGUGUUCAGUUCCGGUGGUAGAGCACUGGAUGGUCUAGGGGGCUUCACCGCUUACCGAAAUCAGCCAAACUCCGAAUGCCGGUACUCCAGAACCCGGGAGUCAGACUAUGUGGGCUAAGCUGUGUAGUCGAAAGGGAAACAGCCCAGAUCGCCCGCUAAGGUCCCUAAGUUCAUGCUAAGUGGCAAAGGAUGUGCGUUUGCACAGACAACCAGGAUGUUGGCUUAGAAGCAGCCAUUCAUUUAAAGAGUGCGUAAUAGCUCACUGGUCAAGUGGACACGCGCCGACAAUACACGGGGCUCAAGCAUGACACCGAAGCGGCGAACUUCACGUUUACGUGGAGUGGUAGGGGAGCAUUCUGUACCGGGUCGAAGCGGGCGGGUGACCGUCCGUGGACUGUACAGAAGUGAGAAUGCUGGCAUGAGUAGCGAGAGAAGUGUGAGAAACACUUCCGCCGUAAGCCUAAGGGUUCCUGGGCAAGGCUAAUCCUCCCAGGGUCAGUCGGGAGCUAAGGCGAGGCCGCGAGGCGUAGUCGAUGCACAACAGGUAGACAUUCCUGUACCACUGGCAGCGCGUUAUUACCGAUGGGGUGACGGAGAAGGGUAGCUGAGCGCGGUUCUGGACGUCCGCGUGAAAGGCUGUAGGGCUCAGGGUAGGCAAAUCCGCCCUGUAUAUGCCUGAGAGCUGAUGACGAAGCGAUAGAGUGAAGUCAGUGAUCCCAUGCUUUCAAGAAAAACCUCUAGGGAGUGCUGUCGGUGCCCGUACCCCAAACCGACACAGGUAGGCAGGUAGAGAAUACCAAGGCGAUCGAGAGAACUACGGUUAAGGAACUCGGCAUAAUGGCUCCGUAACUUCGGGAGAAGGAGCACCCCGGCUGGUGAUCAUCUUCGCGGUGUGAGCUGGUUGGGGGCGCAGUGAAACGGCCCAAGCGACUGUUUACUAAAAACACAGGACUCUGCUAAGUCGUAAGACGACGUAUAGGGUCUGACGCCUGCCCGGUGCUGGAAGGUUACGGGGAGCGGUUAGCCUUCGGGCGAAGCUGUGAACCUAAGCCCCAGUAAACGGCGGCCGUAACUAUAACGGUCCUAAGGUAGCGAAAUUCCUUGUCGGGUAAGUUCCGACCUGCACGAAUGGCGUAACGACUUGGGCGCUGUCUCAACCGUAGACUCGGCGAAAUUGCAUUAUUCGUGAAGAUGCGAAUUACCCGCGGAAGGACGGAGAGACCCCGUGAACCUUUACUACAGCUUGACAUUGAUCUUUGGUUUGUCGUGUAGAGGAUAGGUGGGAGGCUGUGAAGCCGGGACGCCAGUCUCGGUGGAGUCGACCUUGGAAUACCACCCUCGGCAAGCUGGAGGUCUAACCCCACACCGUUAUCCGGGUGGGGGACCGUGUCAGGUGGGUAGUUUGACUGGGGCGGUCGCCUCCUAAAAUGUAACGGAGGCGCGCGUAAGGUUCCCUCAGAUCGGUUGGCAAUCGAUCGUAGAGUGCAAGCGCACAAGGGAGCUUGACUGCGAGACCUACAAGUCGAGCAGAGACGAAAGUCGGCGCUAGUGAUCCGGCGGCUCAGAGUGGAAUGGCCGUCGCUCAACGGAUAAAAGGUACUCCGGGGAUAACAGGCUGAUCCUGCCCAAGAGUCCACAUCGACGGCAGGGUUUGGCACCUCGAUGUCGGCUCAUCGCAUCCUGGGGCUGUAGCAGGUCCCAAGGGUUUGGCUGUUCGCCAAUUAAAGCGGUACGCGAGCUGGGUUUAGAACGUCGUGAGACAGUUCGGUCCCUAUCCUCCGCGGGCGCAGGAGACUUGAGAGAGGCUGUCCCUAGUACGAGAGGACCGGGAUGGACGAACCUCUGGUGUACCAGUUGUCGACCAACGGCACCGCUGGUUAGCUACGUUCGGUCGGGAUAACCGCUGAAAGCAUCUAAGCGGGAAGCCCUUCUCAAGAUGAGGUCUCCCACUGGGUCAACCAGGUAAGGCCCCUCGUAGAUGACGAGGUUGAUAGGCUGCAGGUGUACGCACAGCAAUGUGUUCAGCCGAGCAGUACUAAUAGGCCGAGGUCUUGAUCUU